RNAcentral lists this long non-coding RNA (2037 nucleotides) under Volvox carteri. RNAcentral describes it as "long non-coding RNA (VCAR_LNC001940)". The record is from RNAcentral. Lineage: Eukaryota; Viridiplantae; Chlorophyta; Chlorophyceae; Chlamydomonadales; Volvocaceae.
AAGAACUUUGGUCGCAGUGGUCGAACCAAGUGGACCCACCUGUUGGCGGAGGAUACCACACAGGUGGGUGGGGGGUGAUUUGCAGGUAGCUUGGGGGGUUAGGAGCGGAGGAACAGAGAAACGGGGUCCAAACCGGGUCCUUUCUGACGUUGCGCGGUGUGUGGCGGGGUGGGGUCUGGGUUACGGAUCAAAAUGAGUACGACAGGUUCUCGGGGUGUCGGACCCAGUCGCCCAGGUAGGAACCUGUUCCCUUACCCUCCCGCCCCUCUCCGGCCUUUCCGUCUGGAUAUGGUCAUCAGGUGGAGGACGACCUGUAUUCAGCUGUCAAGGACUCUAUUGUGCGACGCCGCAACGAGGCUCUAGCGGGAGCGCAGGUGUUCACCAAGCCAAAGAAGUUCAAGCGGUGAAGAGGAGAACGGUUCCCUUCUCGCUCUCUCUUAUCUUUUCCUCGCGGCGACCGUGUACGUGCCGUCGUCUUUUCCGCGUUGCUUUGUUCUGGGUCGCUUUCGUCUUUUUACGUUGUCGCCAUCGUCGGUUCUUUAUGUUAUGUUGAUGUUGUUACAGGGUGGUUAAGCUUCACCAGUGGCCUCCUUCCCGAGGCAAUUCCCUGCUCUCCCCUGCUAGAGGGGCACCCUAAUCCAUUCACCCCAUCCGACUUCAGUUAUGUUGUUUUCCGAACCCAGUGCAGGACACGCCAUACCGCAUUUGAAGUGUUCCCGCUAGCUAAUAGCUGCUUGAGGGAUUAUCAAUACAGCGGAUUGCAAUGGGUCACCUCCUCCACAUGUACUAGGCUAGGGGUUUGCCGACAUGCAUAUUGGCAUCAUGGCAGGUGGCUGGCAGAAAUGAAGGCCUGACUUCUGCUCCCGGAGGUUCCGGGUUCAAAUCCGCCUGCCGAACCUCGUGGUGUGGGGGUAAUUGAAUUGGGAGGUGGCCCCAUCUUGUGGACGGUGUAGGACAUGAUUAUAGCAAUUUGCGAGCUGACCAGGAACUAAGUUGAUGCGCCGUUGAUCCGCUAGAUUUGGUUGGAUGCUGGUGGUGAGUUGCUGAACCCAACGAAUACAUUCUGAAGCCGGAUGGGGUGAUUGGAUUAGGGUGCCCCUCUAGCAGGGGAGAGCAGGGCAUUGCCUCGGGAAGGAGGCCACUGGUGAAGGUAUACCACCCUGUAACAUCAUAUUGCGGGGCACACCGGUAAACGCUUCCUUCGACGCAAACCCCGUGGGGGUUCUGGAAGCCUUAACCACUGCGGUUACUGCUGUCGUUGGCCGGACAAAGAUUGACCAUGCCGCGUCCACCGAAGGAAAGUCUUACCAGCGGAAAGGGUGUAAACAGCAGUGUUGGUUGUGGGGUGCUGCGGCGGUGGUGUUUGGCCCAGUGCGUUCAUGCCGUUAGAGUUGGUCGGGGUUUGGCUGCUCCGUGCGGCGUGUACAAGGCGAUGUGUGUUGGUAACUGCGUUAUGGAGUCGUAUGCACCUGUGUUGUGGGGGUAUUCGGUAAGGUAUUCGGGUCUUUCUGAUUCACGACCACGGCAUUUUGUACAUGUCCUCAACCCAGAUCAAAUGAAGCUGAAGCCGGGGGAAGUGAGUGCGAGGGAAAGGGAGCGGUGAACAAAAGGGACCGGCGAAAUGUUUUUCCAAUCUAAGAGACGGGGAUCGAGGGGAGAGUGGGAUAGGGAGAGAGGGAUACGCAUCGUGUGAGCGUUAAGGCCUCUCUGUGAGGCGUUAGGGAUGGCGGUGACACCCGCUUAAGUGGUGGAGUCGAGGGUUGGUAGGAUUGGAUAUUCCUCGGCGUCGCCUAUACUGUUAUCCCGGGGACCAAGGAUGAGUAUAGGCAGCUGGCAAGCCCCGAGCGCUGGUAUCUGUAACACUCGACUUAUGUAAAGGUGGCGUGAUUUAGCAGAGGUAGAGGGCGUUGCAAAUGCAAGUGGAGCCAAAGACGCUACGAUCUGAAGUAGAGGUCAUGAUAAAGAGCGAUCAAUAUGUAUUUUUGGCUUGGAAUUCAGGAUUGUGAAUGGCUUGCCUCAACCUAUGCAAAAGAUCUG